CUUUCAAUCUCGACGAUUUACUAAAAAUAGAUUAUUAUGAUUUCGAGCAAGCCGCUAUGGUGAAAUCGGUAGACACGCUG
This 80-nucleotide transfer RNA is filed under the name Julbernardia paniculata. RNAcentral's name for it is "tRNA-Leu". Lineage: Eukaryota; Viridiplantae; Streptophyta; Magnoliopsida; Fabales; Fabaceae. The record is from RNAcentral.